Molecule: non-coding RNA, 627 nt
Organism: Cinara cedri
Lineage: Eukaryota; Metazoa; Arthropoda; Insecta; Hemiptera; Aphididae
Source: the annotation of a GenBank genome assembly
UUUAGUAUUUAUUUGCUAUUAAUAAUUUAAGUGCACACAUAAUUAUUUUAUAAUUAAAUUUUUAUACUCCUUCCAAAAGUAUCAAACAUUUAGAUGUAAAUUAUUACUUUACAUACUGUCAAAACUAAAAUAAAUAUGCAUUGAGAACAAAAUAUUUUUUAAUUGUUUUCCUCUGAUUUUCAUUAAAAUACAAUGUUGAAGAUAUUUACCAAUUUUGUGCUUAUUCAGUGUAUUUUCAUUUUAUAUCGAUUUUAUAGUAAUUUGAUAAAUAAUAUAACNUCUUAAUAGUUUUUCUUAAUAAUAAUACUUGUUUAACCCUUUUAGUGUGCUUAUCUGCAAACAAAUGAUUUGACAACAUUGCAAAUAAAUUGAAUUUUGUUUUUUUUUUUUAAAAAAAUAACCUGAGAUACAGCCAUGUAAAGUUGGUUGAAAAUAUGAUUUUUUUUUUUUUUAUUGGUAUUUAAAAAAAUAUUAACUAUAAUAUAUGUGUAGCUAUACAAAUAAUUUCUUAUUAUUAUCUUUUUUUCUUACCCAUUUUAAACUACUUAUAGGUUACAACAAUAUGCAAUCCAUAAUAUUGUAAAUUAUUAUUUCUUUAAUCUUAAGUUUUAUAAUUUCAAAAAAAAA